RNAcentral lists this ribosomal RNA (2803 nucleotides) under human gut metagenome. Its description in RNAcentral is "eukaryotic LSU rRNA". It matches the Rfam family "Eukaryotic large subunit ribosomal RNA", at positions 521 to 3384 of the family's 3401-position model. The record is from RNAcentral.
AUUGUAUUUGAAUGUACUAUAAUCAAUUGAUUAUGGCUUAUUCUUAUACAUAGUAUAAUUUGUGUGUGAAUUGGUUAAUAUUAAAACGAAUAUGCGCAUAAAUGAUAUAAAUCCUACAUCUCUGUCCCGUCUUGAAACACGGACCAAGGAGUCUAUCCUGUAUGCAAGUUGUAUGGUGUAAAACCAAUAAGCGUAAUGAAAGUAAGAGGUGUGAAAGUUGUAAAAGUGUCAACACCUGCCGAUCUAAAUUCUUUGAUGAAAGAUUCGAGUAUGAGCAUAUAGGGUGGGACCCGAAAGAUGGUGAACUAUGCCUGAAUAGGACGAAGCCAGGGGAAACUCUGGUGGAGGUUCGAGUGGAUUCUAACGUGCAAAUUGAUCUUUAAAUUUGGGUAUAGGGGCGAAAGACUAAUCGAACCAUCUAGUAGCUGGUUCAUUCCGAAAUUUCCCUCAGGAUAGCUGCAACUUAUGAAAUAGUUUUAUGAGGUAAAGCGAAUGAUUAGAGGUUUCUGGGAUGGAAUAUCCUGGACCUAUUCUCAAACUUUCAAUGGGUAAGAAAAGUGUGAUGUUUAAUUAAUCAUACUAUUUGAAUAUGAGUUGCAAGUGGGCCAUUCCGGGUAAGCUGGACUGGCAAUGCGGGAUCAACCGAACGCUAUGUUACGGCGCCAGAUUGUUCGCUCAGUUGGAUGUAAAAGGUGUUAGUUCAUCUAGACAGCAGGACGGUGGCCAUGGAAGUCGGAAUCCGCUAAGGAGUGUGUAACAACUCACCUGCCGAAUGAAGUAGCCCUGAAAAUGGAUGGCGCUUAAGCGAACAGCCUAUACAUAGCCAUUAUUGUUAGGAUUAUACAAUAAUGAGUAGGAAUGCGUGAUGAAUGUUGUGAAGUAUGAUGUGUGAACAUGUAUGGAACAUUCAUUAGUGCAGAUCUUGGUGGAAGUAGCAAAUAUUCAAAUGAGAUCUUUGAAGACUGAAGUGGAGAAAGGUUCCAUAGGAAUAGUGAUUAUCUAUGGGUUAGUCGAUCCUAAGAGAUAGGUGAAAUCCAUUGAAAAGUCAAUUUCGAUUGACAUUUAUCGAAAGGGAAUCAGGUUAAUAUUCCUGAACCAAAGAGAAGGGUAAACGGUAACGUAUAGGGGUCUCAAGACAUUGAUGUUAUUCCCAGGAAGAGUUUUCUUUUCUUGUUAACAAAUGGGCAGUGCUUGGAAUCGAUUCAGUCGGCGAUAAGCAUUGUUAUUUGGUAAAGUACUACUAUUUUGUGUAGUAUCUGGUGCAAUGACAUGAAUCCUUGAAAAUUGAGACUUUUGUUUUCCCGAAGCUUUGGUCGUACUAAUAACCGCAUCAGGUCUCCAAGGUGAAUAGCCUCUAGUUAAUAGAAUAAUGUAGAUAAGGGAAGUCGGCAAAUUAGAUCCGUAACUUCGGGAUAAGGAUUGGCUCUGAGGGCUAAGUGGGUUUAAGGUGUUAAUAGUAUAAGUUUGAUAUGGGAUUGAGUGUUUUGAGUUGCUUCGGUGAUUUGAAAUAUUUGGUUCUAAUGUCUUAGUUGUCUAUUUUCAUCUACCACUAUGAAUAGCUAACUCAGAACUGGUACGGACAAGGGGAAUCCGACUGUUUAAUUAAAACAAAGCAUUGUGAUGGUGUGAAAGAUAUGUUGACACAAUGUGAAUUCUGCCCAGUGCUCUGAAUGUGAAAGUGGCGUAAUUCAAGCAAGCGCGGGUAAACGGCGGGAGUAACUAUGACUCUCUUAAGGUAGCCAAAUGCCUCGUCAUCUAAUUAGUGACGCGCAUGAAUGGAUUAAUGAGAUUCCCACUGUCCCUAUCUACUAUCUAGCGAAACCACAGCCAAGGGAACGGGCUUGGAAAUAUCAGCGGGGAAAGAAGACCCUGUUGAGCUUGACUCUAGUUUAACAUUGUGAAAUGACUUUAGAGGUGUAGCAUAGGUGGGAGGAGGUAACUCCGAUCCUGAAAUACCACUACUCUGAAUGUUGUUUUACUUAUUCCAUGAAAGAGGAUACUUACUUAAUUGUAAGUGUUAUGAUGUAAACUUUGGUGACCUCUUUGGGAGACAUUGUUAGGUGGGGAGUUCGGCUGGGGCGGCACAUCUGUUAAAGAAUAACACAGGUGUCCUAAGAUGAGCUCAAUAAGAACAGAAAUCUUAUGUAGAACAAAAGGGUAAAAGCUCAUUUGAUUUUGCUUUUCAGUAUGAAUACAAACUAUAAAAGUAUGGCCUAUCGAUCCUUUACAUAAAGGGAGAUCCUUGGUAGAGGUGUCAGAAAAGUUACCACAGGGAUAACUGGCUUGUGGCAGCCAAGCGUUCAUAGCGACGUUGCUUUUUGAUUCUUCGAUGUCGGCUCUUCCUAUCAUUGCGAAGCAGAAUUCGCCAAGUGUUGGAUUGUUCACCCAUUAAUAGGGAACGUGAGCUGGGUUUAGACCGUCGUGAGACAGGUUAGUUUUACCCUACUGAUGAAGUAAUUGUCGUAACAGUAAUCUAACUUAGUACGAGAGGAACCGUUAGUUCAGAUAAUUGGUAAAUCCAUUUAACUGAUAAGUUAGUGAUGGGAAGCUAUCAUCUGUGGGAUUAUGACUGAACGCCUCUAAGUCAGAAUCCUUGCUGAAAUGAAACGACGAUUCUCUUAAUAAGAGGAACAAUUUGUAUUUCACGCAAGAAUACUUGAUAUGUUAGUAUCAAGGAAAGCGAUUUGUAUAGUAUUGAAUGAAAUUGAAUUGUUAUUGCAAUCGUUUGUAGACGACUUAUAGUAAAGAAGGUACUGUAAGAGUAUGAGCUGGCUUGUUCCAGCGAGUCUUUGAGGUUUAUCCU